GAUGAACGCUGGCGGCGUGCCUAAUACAUGCAAGUCGAGCGAACGGACGAGAAGCUUGCUUUUCUGAUGUUAGCGGCGGACGGGCGAGUAACACGUGGAUAACCUACCUAUAAGACUGGGAUAACUUCGGGAAACCGGAGCUAAUACCGGAUAAUAUUUUGAACCGCAUGGUUCAAAAGUGAAAGACGGUCUUGCUGUCACUUAUAGAUGGAUCCGCGCUGCAUUAGCUAGUUGGUAAGGUAACGGCUUACCAAGGCAACGAUGCAUAGCCGACCUGAGAGGAUGAUCGGCCACACUGGAACAGAGACACGGUCCAGACUCCUACGGGAGGCAGCAGUAGGGAAUAUUCCGCAAUGGACGAAAGCCUGACGGAGCAACGCCGCGUGAGUGAUGAAGAUCUUCGGAUCGUAAAACUCUGUUAUUAGGGAAGAACAUAUGUGUAAGUAACUGUGCACAUCUUGACGGUACCUAAUCAGAAAGCCACGGCUAACUACGUG
RNAcentral lists this ribosomal RNA (497 nucleotides) under uncultured bacterium. RNAcentral's name for it is "partial 16S ribosomal RNA". It matches the Rfam family "Bacterial small subunit ribosomal RNA", at positions 28 to 507 of the family's 1533-position model. The record is from RNAcentral.